UACGUAGGGGGCAAGCGUUGUCCGGAAUCAUUGGGCGUAAAGGGCGCGUAGGCGGACUUGUAAGUCUGAUGUGAAAGUGCGGAGCUUAACUCCGUAAAGCAUUGGAAACUGUGAGUCUUGAGGACAGGAGAGGAAAGUGGAAUUCCUAGUGUAGCGGUGAAAUGCGUAGAUAUUAGGAGGAACACCAGUGGCGAAGGCGACUUUCUGGACUGUAACUGACGCUGAGGCGCGAAAGCGUGGGGAGCGAACAGGAUUAGAUACCCUGGUAGUCCACGCCGUAAACGAUGAGUGCUAGGUGUAGAGGGUAUCGACCCCUUCUGUGCCGCAGUAAACACAAUAAGCACUCCGCCUGGGGAGUACGGCCGCAAGGUUGAA
This 375-nucleotide ribosomal RNA is filed under the name uncultured bacterium. RNAcentral's name for it is "bacterial SSU rRNA". It matches the Rfam family "Bacterial small subunit ribosomal RNA", at positions 524 to 898 of the family's 1533-position model. The record is from RNAcentral.